Molecule: ribosomal RNA, 274 nt
Filed under: uncultured bacterium
Lineage: Bacteria
Description: partial 16S ribosomal RNA
Rfam family: Bacterial small subunit ribosomal RNA
Source: RNAcentral
AUACGGAGGGUGCAAGCGUUACUCGGAAUCACUGGGCGUAAGGCGCGCGCAGGCGGCUAUUUAAGUUGGAUGUGAAAGCCUACGGCUCAACCGUAGAACUGCAUCCAAAACUAUUUAGCUAGAGUGUGGGAGAGGAAGAUGGAAUUAGUUGUGUAGGGGUAAAAUCCGUAGAGAUAACUAGGAAUACCAAAAGCGAAGGCGAUCUUCUGGAACAGUACUGACGCUGAGGCGCGAAAGCGUGGGGAGCAAACAGGAUUAGAAACCCGAGUAGUCC